Molecule: ribosomal RNA, 598 nt
Filed under: Microdon stilboides
Lineage: Eukaryota; Metazoa; Arthropoda; Insecta; Diptera; Syrphidae
Description: partial 28S ribosomal RNA
Source: RNAcentral
AGUACGUGAAACUGCUUAGAGGUUAAGCCUGAUGAACCUGAAUAUCCAUUAAUGGAAAAUUCAUCGCCAAUAGUAUAAUAUAUUUUAUUAUAUUAUAAAAAUGGUGUGCAUUUUUUCCAUAAAGGACAUUGUAAUCGGUUAAUAAAUUAAAAGUUUAUCAAAAGAUUCAUUAUAAGAGUUUAUUCUAAUUAAAUUUUUCUGAAGUUUAAAAUUGAAUAAAUUUUAUGGAUUUGAUAGACUGUUGACCGAUUUAAUUGUAAUAAUGUUAUAAAUUUCUUUGGAAAUUUUACAAUAAUUAUUUAUGUAUUCUUUGAACACAUAUUUAAUUUAUUGUAUACAUUUUUAUGAUUUACAAUGCUAUAAAUUCAGGAUACCUUCGGGACCCGUCUUGAAACACGGACCAAGGAGUCUAACAUAUGUGCAAGUCGUUGAGUAUCUUAAAUGAAACUCAAAGGCAUAAUUAACUUAACUGUUUUUAAUGGGAUUAGUUUAUAUAUGUUUUUUUUUUAUUUAAAAAAAAAGAAUGUUGUAAAUUCAAUCCCAGGGCGUUCUAUAUAGUUAUGCAUAAUGAUAUUUAUAUUAUUUAUGUCUCUAACUG